AAGUUAUUAUGGAGGGAAACAAAGGGAACGAGAAAGGCGGGAGGAGAAAUGGAAUACGUUCUGGCACCCUAAGUGGAGAGGUCAGUGAGAGACAUUAAACUGGAAUGAUGUCAUUAUUCCUGGCUUCGUUUCAGGAGCGGCAAGCAGCCAGCGAAGCACUUUGAUGUUGUUUAUUUACGGCCGUCACCGUCGGCCAUCCACGGGCAGCGGAGGGGACUCCGGCCGCGGGUUUUCACGGGCAGCGAUCCGGAUGUCCCGGACCCUCUCUCUUCCCCCCGAAGUUUCCCCAAGACCUGUCUCUAAGAGUUCUGAAAUGCUCUCGCCCUCGGAUUAUUUCUCUCUAACAACGGUAACGACUACGGCGCCCGCUACACGCCAAACGCUGUUCUAGGAGCCGGGGGAUGUCCGUCCGUCUCCCCCGAUUAGACCGCGAGCCCGUCCCUGGGCAGGGACCGUCUCCAUCUGUCGCCGGACUGUCCAUUCCGAGCGCUCAGUACGGCGCUCCGCGCAGAGUAAGCGCUCAGUAAAUACUCCCGAACGACCAAAUGACCGAUACGAGAUUCACGGCCCACGUGGGGCUCCCGUUCUUCAGCCCCCUUUUACAGAUGAGGGAACCGAGGCACAGACGUUCAAUGGGCUCGCCUGAGGUCGUCAAGCAGACACGGGGCGGAGUCGGGAUCAGAAGCCCGGGUUCUCUCCACCAGGCCGGGCCGCUUCUCUGGAUUUACGUUACCGUCCGUCUCCCCGGCUAGACCGUGAGCUUGUCGUCGGCGAGGGACGUGCCCGUUCCGUGUUGCGCUCUGUACUCUCCCAACCGCCCGGUACGCAGCUCUGCCCACGGUAGCGAACCGCAUUCCGGGGGGAGGCCUCUCUCGGAUUCCCCUAGUUGAGACUUCGGAGCCCGGCAGAUGGUUUGGAAACGAGUACGAGCCAAUAUCCACAGGGCGAAGACCGUCCAGGCCGACGAAAUGGAAAUGUUGGCCCUCAGGUGGCACUCAAAGAACAGGAUCGACGGAUCGAUCGAUCGACCGACUGACGGAUUGGAGGAGUAGAGACCUAACCUGGAUAAAUUUCGGGCUUCAAGACCGGGGCCGGCACAACCACGUCCUUCCGCAAGAAAGAAAUAAAAUCCGAGUCGCAGGCCGCAGGUGGCAACAUUUUUA
This is a long non-coding RNA of Ornithorhynchus anatinus (platypus), 1163 nucleotides long. RefSeq lists it as uncharacterized. NCBI's taxonomy places the organism in Eukaryota, Metazoa, Chordata, Mammalia, Monotremata, Ornithorhynchidae. The transcript is spliced from 3 exons. The record is from RefSeq and is a predicted model, not a curated record.